ACUUUCUCCCCAAUUACUAAUUUUAAAAAAAUCCACUGAUUACUUUCUUUUUAAAAUAAUCAGUAAUUUUUGUCGGCAAAUUAAUAAUUUUUUCGUAAAUUAUGAAUAUUUUAUUCCGAAUUACUAAUUUUACAAAAUAAUUACAGAACUGUAUUGUUGAUGGAUUAAUAAAAACUUAUUUAUAAUAGUGUACAACUUUAUUAAUUAAUACUUAUGAGCUAAUUACAUGUCUCUUGUAUAUUGCGAUAUAUGUAAUGAAUAUGUCGGACAACACUUACGCUGCGUUCAGGACAGCGUAAGGCUGCGUUCGCUACAUCUUUCCCCUUUUUAAAAAAAAUUUUUUAUAAACUUAUUAACUGUAUCCAACUUUUCUUCCCCUUUUACAAAAGAAAAUAUAUAUGUAUACUUUUUUAUUACAUAAAUGACAAAUCUAAUUAUUUUUUACUACAAUACAAGAGAGAAAAAAAAUAUAUAAAAAAAAAAAAAAAAAACAAUAUUAUUAUAGCUCCCAAUUUCUAUUGAUCACCAUUAAUAUGUCAAUCAAUAAUGUGAUUAUUGAUUGACAUGUUGAUUGUAUGUGUAUUUACACUCAACAAAGAUCUAAUUAGGUACUUACUUAUUACUAAUUACAGAAAAGAAAAAACAAAAACUGAUUAUAAUUGACACUGCCCCAAAUGAUUUUUUUUUUUUUUUUUUUUACUUAAUUAAAGUUUUAUAUGACACAUUUCUUUCAUGUUACAUUUUUUAUUAUACACAACACAAUAUGUACUUAUAUCUAAAUUUUUAUAUGAGGAAACCUUGUAACCAUUCACUCGACUUAUUCUGAAGCAUCACCAAAUCAUUUUAUGCUCUUAUAUGAUAUGAAGUUCUACAAUAAGUAACACCAUUUGUGUCACUUACAUUGUAAGACCUAAAAUUAUUUUUACUCACUAUUUUUCCUUGUUGCCAUUUUUUUCCAUUAACAUCUUUUUUGAACCAAACAUUUUGUCCUAUUAAAAAUUCUGAUCUAUUCCUACUACGUAAAUUAUAAUUUUUAAUAUUUCUGUUUUGCGUUUUACUCAUUUCCAACUCUACAUUAGUAUUUAUUUUAGGUUUUAAAUACUGCAUUGUCACAGGUAAUUUAGUUUUUAAGUUUCUAUUCAUUAAUAAUUGUGCUGGAGAAAAAUGUGUACCAGAUACUGGGCUGCUUCUAUAUUGUAACAAUGCUACUCUAUAGUCAAUGUUAUCAUCAUAACAUUUAAAUAAUAUUUUCUUUGCUAUUUGUACAGCACGUUCUGCCAUUCCGUUCGACUGGGGAUACUGUGGGCUAGAAUAAGUGAACUUAAAACCCCAUUCCGAUGCAAAUAGUUUACAUUCUCUUGAGUCAAAGGGUAUAUGGUCCGAUACUAUUUCUGAUGGUACACCAAAAUUUGAAAAUGAAUCUUUUAAACUAUUAAUAAUACUACCAGCAGACUUAUUCGAUAACAAUUUUAUAUCCAACCACUUUGAGUAGUAAUCAUACAAAACAAAGUAGUUUUUUCUUCUGAAGUCUAAUAUAUCUACUCCUAGUUUAGAAAAUGGUAAUUUUGGUAUGCUAUGUGGUAACAAUGGCUCUUUUAUAUUAUUAUUUUGAUAUGUUUGGCAUAUAAAACAUUCUCUAACAAAAUUUUCCAAGUGACAGUCUAUUUUUGGCCAAUAAUAUAAUUCUCUUGCUAAUUGUUUCAUUUUUGUCAUACCUAUAUGACCUUCAUGUAACUUUUUGAUAUAUUCUAGUCUUAAGUUUUUGGGUACUAUUAUUCUGUGAUUUAAAAAUACUAUCCCUUCAUCUACCGAGAUAUCAGUCUUGAAUUUAUAAUAAUAAUUUAAAUAAUCUGGUAUAUUUUUAAUUUUUUCUGGCCAACCGUUGCUAUUGUACUCUAUAAUUUUUAAUAAUUCCUCAUCCUUACUAGUUUCAGAUAUCAACUGUUGCUUUUGCUGUUCAGAACAUUGUAGAUAUUGUGAAAGCCCUAUGCAAUGAAUAACUUCAUAUAUGUAUGACUCAUCUAUAUCAGUACUUGGUAAAUGUGAUCUAGAUAAAAGAUCUGCUAUAAACAUCUGCUUUCCUUUUAAAUAUUUAAAUUCGAGAUCGUAUUUUAAUAAUUUUAGUUUUAGUCUUUGCAACCUAGGUGAAGGAAUAUCAUGGAUGCUUUUUUUUUAACAGUGAUUCAAGUGGCUUGUGAUCAUUUAAUAUAUUAGUAAAUUUUUGACCAUAAAUAUAAUAAUGAAAUUUCUUUAUUGACCAUACGACACUAAGAAGUUCUUUUUCUAUUUGUGAAAAAUUUUGUUUUGCUGAUGUUAAACUUCUAGAUAUGAAACUAAUUGGUUUACCAUUUUGUAGUAAACAGCCUCCUAAGCCAUCUUUAGAAGCAUCACAUUGAAUAACUAUGGGUAAUUUACUGUUAAAGCUUUGUAAAACAGGCGCUUUAGUGAUAAAAAUUUUUAUAUCUAUAAAUGAUUUUUCAUGAAUCUCGGUCCAUAACCACUCUACUUCUUUUUUUAAUAAUUCUCUUAACGGGGAUAUAAUAUUAGCUAAAUUUGGUACAAAUUUGCGCAAAUAAUUGACCAUUCCUAAGAAAAUUUGUAGCAUUUUUUUAUUUUCCGGACUUUUAAUACUUACUAUCGACUUGAUUCUGUCUGGGUCUAUUUUAAUGCCUUCUUCAGAGAACACAUGUCCAAAAUAUUUUACUUCUUUAAGUUUAUAUUGAAAUUUAUUUUUAUUAAACUUUACAGUACAUUUUCUAGCACGUUCAAAAACCUGAGCCAAAAUGACAUCAUUUUCUGCUUCUGACUUAGAGGCAAUUAACAAAUCAUCACAAUAAACUAUCACACCUGGUAUGUCGCCAAAUGCUUUCUCGCUAUAGCGUUGAAAAACUUCCGGUGCUACUGAUACUCCGAAUGGUAAUCUUAAAAACUUAUAUGUUCCAAAAGGUGUACUAAAAGUGCAUAAAUCCGAUGAGGAAUCAGUUAACUUUAUAUUAUAAAAACCAUCAGACAAGUCUAAAACUGAGAACACUGACUUAUUUGUUAAUUUUGUAAUAAUUUCCUCAUAUGUGGGUAUCAAAUAAUGUUCUUUUACAAGUACUUUAUUAAGGUCUUUAGGAUCCAAACAUAUUCGUAAUGACUUAUCUUUUUUUUCUAUUAUUACCAAAUUGCUAACAAAGCUUUUAGGAUGAGCUACCUUUUUAAUGAUUUGGUGAUCCUCCAGAGUUUUUAGCUUGUCUUCUAAACGAGAUCUUAGAGCCUGAGGGACUCGUCGAGGUGGCUUCACCACUGGCACUGUGCCAGUUUGUAUAUGCAGCUCCAAGGCUUCCUCAAAUUGACCCACUCCUUGAAAUAAGUCAAUAUUGUUGCUUAUUAAUAUGUUUUUAUGUUUUUCAUCAGGUGAAAUGAUGCUCUUAAUAUUAUUAAUAUCAUGUAACGUGGUGCAGACAGACAUGUUUUUAUUUGAGCUUAUAUUUAUUUCCUCAUUGGAACAGCUGCUAUUAAUAUUAUUAAGCAUUAGCAUUUCUAUUAACGAACUUAGGCCCAAAAUAGGUUUUACAUUUUCUUUUAAUAUUACAAACUCUGUUUUAUAUAUUUUGUUUUUAUUGUACACAUUUAAUACUGUUUUACCUAAUGGGUUUAACUGGCUGCCCCCAAAAACUUCUAAUUUUAUUUUAGUCUCAGACCAAUAAGGAUUUUCAUCAUCGACUAUGUUUUUCAGAUCACACAAGGACAAUACAUUACACUGAGCCCCUGU
This 3757-nucleotide unclassified non-coding RNA is filed under the name Melitaea cinxia (Glanville fritillary). Its description in RNAcentral is "misc RNA ENSMCXG00005000045.1". Lineage: Eukaryota; Metazoa; Arthropoda; Insecta; Lepidoptera; Nymphalidae. The record is from RNAcentral.